CGGAUGCGAUCAUACCAGCACUAAAGCACCGGAUCCCAUCAGAACUCCGAAGUUAAGCGUGCUUGGGCGAGAGUAGUACUAGGAUGGGUGACCUCCUGGGAAGUCCUCGUG
RNAcentral lists this ribosomal RNA (111 nucleotides) under Oryza sativa Indica Group (long-grained rice). Lineage: Eukaryota; Viridiplantae; Streptophyta; Magnoliopsida; Poales; Poaceae. The record is from RNAcentral.